UAUGGGAUCCAUCUCUUUUUGUUGGCAAUGGAGCGUAUGCAAAUGGCUACAAUAGAAUUGUAGAGUUUUCAAGCUUUAAACCUAAUAUAUUUUUCACAUAGUUGUAUUUUUACCCAUUCUACUAAGAAUUUUCUGCAAUUUGACUUCAGUAAUUAAUUACUAACAAAGAAUUAUUUACCUUCCAUAGAUGUCUUGUCAGGUCAUGGUAUACACAAUCAAUUAAAAU
Molecule: long non-coding RNA, 226 nt
Filed under: Carica papaya (papaya)
Lineage: Eukaryota; Viridiplantae; Streptophyta; Magnoliopsida; Brassicales; Caricaceae
Description: long non-coding RNA (CPAP_LNC000895)
Source: RNAcentral